Oncorhynchus keta (chum salmon) is the source of this 1768-nucleotide long non-coding RNA. RefSeq lists it as uncharacterized. The transcript has 4 exons. The record is from RefSeq and is a predicted model, not a curated record. Lineage: Eukaryota; Metazoa; Chordata; Actinopteri; Salmoniformes; Salmonidae.
GGAGCCCCCAUGUUCUGCUAUUAAACCAGAGUAGAAACAAGGACCAGGGGAAGUGGAGCCCCCAUGUUCUGCUGUUAAACCAGAGUAGGAACAAGGACCAGGGGAAGUGGAGCCCCCAUGUUCUGCUAUUAAACCAGAGUAGGAACAAGGACCAGGGGGAAGUGGAGCCCCCAUGUUCUGCUAUUAAACCAGAGUAGGAACAAGGACCAGGGGAAGUGGAGCCCCCAUGUUCUGCUAUUAAACCAGAGUAGGAACAAGGACCAGGGGAAGUGGAGCCCCAUGUUCUGCUGUUAAACCAGAGUAGGAACAAGGACCAGGGGAAGUGGAGCCUCCAUGUUCCUGUACACACAGAGGACGUGUUUAUCCUCCUCCUCAUUCUACAUCCAAACUCAUUUUACAUAUCAGUAAAGACAAGUUUAUAUUCAGAAUAGGCUGCACGCGUUCUCUCAUCGAGUGAUCAUAUUUUCACCCAUCACACGGAGACAAGGAACAGAGUGCAAACUUGUUAUGCAAAUUUCUCAAAUCAUAGGCCCAUACACACACACACUGUCCCUGCCUAGAAAAGAUGACUCUCUCUCUCUCUCUCAGAAGACACACAGACACACACUGUCCCUGCCUAGAAAAUAUGACUCUCUCUCUCUCUCUCAGAAUACACACACACACACUGUUCCUGCCUAGAAAAUAUUACUCUCUCUCUCUCUCUCUCAGACACAAUGUUAGGAUGAUGGUUGAUGUGAGUUCGGGUAAUGAUGUGAGUUAGGGUAAUGAUUUGAGUUAGGGUAAUGUUAGGGUAAUGAUGUGAGUUAGGGUAAUGUUAGGGCAAUUAUGUGAGUUAGGGUAAUGAUGGUUGAUGCGAGUUAGGGUAAUGUUAGGAUGAUGGUUGAUGUGAGUUAAGGGUAAUGAUGUGAGUUAGGGUAAUGAUGUGAGUUAGGGUAAUGAUUUGAGUUAGGGUAAUGAUGUGAGUUAGGGUAAUGGUGUGAGUUAGGGUAAUGUUAGGGUAAUGAUGUGAGUUAGGGUAAUGAUGGUUGAUGUGAGUUAGGGUAAUGUUAGGGUAAUGAUGGUUGAUGUGAGUUAGGAUAAUGGUGGUUGAUGUGAGUUAGGGUAAUGAUGGUUGAUGUGAGUUAGGGUAAUGGUGGUUGAUGUGAGUUAGGGUAAUGGUGGUUGAUGUGAGUUAGGGUAAUGGUGGUUGAUGUGAGUUAGGGUAAUGGUGGUUGAUGAGAGUUAGGGUAAUGGUGGUUGAUGUGAGUUAGGGUAAUGGUGGUUGAUGUGAGUUAGGGUAAUGUUAGGGUAAUGAUGUGAGUUAGGGUAAUGGUGGUUGAUGUGAGUUAGGGUAAUGUUAGGGUAAUGAUGGUUGAUGUGAGUUAGGGUAAUGGUGGUUGAUGUGAGUUAGGGUAAUGGUGGUUGAUGUGAGUUAGGGUAAUGGUGGUUGAUGUGAGUUAGGGUAAUGGUGGUUGAUGUGAGUUAGGGUAAUGGUGGUUGAUGUGAGUUAGGGUAAUGAUGGUUGAUGUGAGUUAGGGUAAUGAUGGUUGAUGUGAGUUAGGGUAAUGUUAGGGUAAUGAUGGUUGAUGUGAGUUAGGGUAAUGUUAGGGUAAUGAUGUGAGUUAGGGUAAUGAUGGUUGAUGCGAGUUAGGGUAAUGUUAGGGUAAUGAUGGUUGAUGCGAGUCAGGGUAAUGAUGGUUGAUGUGAGUCAGGGUAAUGAUGGUUGAUGUGAGUUAGGGUAAUGAUGGUUGAUGUGAGUCAGGGUAAUGAUGGUUGAUGCGAGUUAGGG